GACGAACGCUGGCGGCGUGCUUAACACAUGCAAGUCGAGCGGUAAGGCCCUUUCGGGGGUACACGAGCGGCGAACGGGUGAGUAACACGUGGGUGACCUGCCCUCAGCUCUGGGAUAAGCCUGGGAAACCGGGUCUAAUACUGGAUAUGACUCCAUGACGCAUGUUGUGGGGUGGAAAGCCUUGUGCGGCUGAGGAUGGGCCCGCGGCCUAUCAGCUUGUUGGUGGGGUGANGGCCUACCAAGGCGACGACGGGUAGCCGGCCUGAGAGGGCGACCGGCCACACUGGGACUGAGUCACGGCCCAGACUCCUACGGGAGGCAGCAGUGGGGAAUCUUGCGCAAUGGGCGAAAGCCUGACGCAGCGACGCCGCGUGAGGGAUGACGGCC
This 387-nucleotide ribosomal RNA is filed under the name uncultured bacterium. RNAcentral describes it as "bacterial SSU rRNA". It matches the Rfam family "Bacterial small subunit ribosomal RNA", at positions 28 to 416 of the family's 1533-position model. The record is from RNAcentral.